RNAcentral lists this transfer RNA (67 nucleotides) under Marmota monax (woodchuck). RNAcentral's name for it is "tRNA.Ala". The record is from RNAcentral. Lineage: Eukaryota; Metazoa; Chordata; Mammalia; Rodentia; Sciuridae.
GGCUGUAGCUCAGUGGCAGAGCGCUUGCCUAGCGCAUGCGAGGCACUGGGUUCGAUCCUCAGCGCCA